RNAcentral lists this ribosomal RNA (418 nucleotides) under uncultured bacterium. RNAcentral describes it as "bacterial SSU rRNA". It matches the Rfam family "Bacterial small subunit ribosomal RNA", at positions 355 to 771 of the family's 1533-position model. The record is from RNAcentral.
UAAGGAAUAUUGGUCAAUGGACGCAAGUCUGAACCAGCCAUGCCGCGUGAAGGAUGAAGGUCCUCUGGAUUGUAAACUUCUUUUAUCUGGGACGAAAACGGGAUUUUUAUCUCAAUUGACGGUACCAGAGGAAUAAGCACCGGCUAACUCCGUGCCAGCAGCCGCGGUAAUACGGAGGGUGCGAGCGUUAUCCGGAUUUACUGGGUUUAAAGGGUGCGUAGGUGGGCUUAUAAGUCAGUGGUGAAAUCUCCGAGCUUAACUUGGAAACGGCCGUUGAUACUAUAGAUCUUGAAUUAUCUGGAGGUAAGCGGAAUAUGUCAUGUAGCGGUGAAAUGCUUAGAUAUGACAUAGAACACCAAUUGCGAAGGCAGCUUACUACAUAUAAAUUGACGCUGAUGCACGAAAGCGUGGGGAUCAA